RNAcentral lists this transfer RNA (74 nucleotides) under Chloroidium sp. UTEX 3077. RNAcentral describes it as "tRNA-Asp". It matches the Rfam family "tRNA". From Rfam's summary of the family: Transfer RNA (tRNA) molecules are approximately 80 nucleotides in length. Lineage: Eukaryota; Viridiplantae; Chlorophyta; Trebouxiophyceae; Watanabeales; Watanabeaceae. The record is from RNAcentral.
GAGGGCGUAGCUUAGUUGGUUAGAGUAUUGGCUUGUCACGCCAAAGGUCGCGGGUUCGAUUCCCGUCGUUCUCG